UGGGGCUGAGGGGUGUCCUUAUGGACGGGAGGUCUUGGAUCUGAAUCCGUCUCUGGUUAUCGGUGGAUCGCAGGCUUCAUGCUGAUGGGUAACUCCAGGCUUUAUCCUGCUCCAGCCGAGACCAGACUUAAACCUGGCAUCUGUAAGUGUAAAGCUAAGCUGUGUAAUCCUCACCCAGCCGUGGCCUGAGCUUCAGCUUUGACAGCUCGGGCUAGGUGUAAAAGCCAUUUUAAUUCCACUUUUAGGGCUUGGAGUAUUGCCGGAGCAGGGACAAAGGGAGCGGUGCCAGGAUGCUGGUGCUGGCAAAGGGAGCAUCCGCUUUGGGUUCAGCCGCUUGGUGCAAUGGGUUUCUAUGGGGAGGUGGAGCUGGUUCUGGGACAGGCAGAAAAAGCAGCUCUAAGAGGGGAAAAAUGAAAGAAAAGCUGAUUAAUAAGUGCUGGCAAUGGGAAAAAGUGGGUGUUUGGUGGCUGGCUCAGCCCCGAGCCUGCGUGCGGCUCCAGGAGGCUUUUGGCUUCUCCUGUGGCCUUGCAUUGCUUAGGUGGGUGCAGCUAAACCAGGUUUCAUUUGACCUUCAGCAGGUUCCUGCCUGGUGGAAGCUCAAAACUCACCCCUGUUCGGGGGGAUAAAGGGAAGCAGAGCCCUGGGAAAGAAGGAAGGGUUAUCCCUGAGCAGCCUGCUUUGUUUCGCCCGUUCCUCCCCUCUGCCUUUGGUAAAUACCUGCAAGUUUAGACUGAAGCCAGUGCCCUGCAGCUCCGGGGAUGCCUCUGCCACCAGGGAGCAGAGUGGGAUCCCCCUCCGUGAUGCUCUGCUCGUUUUGCAGCUGGUGAAUCCCGUGUCUCCGGCCCCGCUGACAGUUGACAUGGAAUUUCCUGGUGAGCAUGAACCCAGCAGUGGGGAAGAAACCACCUCCAAAAGGCACCAGAGCCCGGCCAGUGGGACCUGUGCAGAAGCCCCUCACCGUGGCUGCUCCCACUUGCAUCCUCUUCCUCCUCCUCCUCCUCCUCCUCCUGGAGCACAAUGAUGUAGACCACGACUUGCAGCAGCAUCCCUCCAGGCUGCUCAGGGCUCCUGGGGCUUCGCCAUAGGGACGCCAACACCAGAUGGGAUGGAGAAGAUCCUGGGACAUCACCAUCCUGCUGCUGUGCAUUGGUCCUGCGCUACUGGUGAAGAACACGCUGCUGGGAGGGGAAAAGAAGCAAAGCAAGGAAAGGCAGUCUCGGAGCGCAGGAAAUGUGUGUUAAUGGCUUGUGGAUGUCUCUGUCUCCCACAUGAUGGAAUUGCCGGUGCCGGGCUGUUUUUGACAGCCUGUCUUUUCCAUGUUUUUAAAAUAUUCAUGCCCCGAAAUCUAAUUACCAGCAAAUUUCAUGCUAAUGAAGGGAAGGCUUCGGCUUCCCUCUGCCUCCCUCUUGUUCGUGGUGCUCUAAGAGAGCUCUUUCUUUCUUCCCCACUGCUUUUCUUGCAUGGCAAACCCAACCCCAAGCGAAGGAUCGCCGACAAUAAAGCUUGGCUUGCUCAA
Pezoporus occidentalis (night parrot) is the source of this 1516-nucleotide long non-coding RNA. RefSeq lists it as uncharacterized. The transcript has 5 exons. The record is from RefSeq and is a predicted model, not a curated record. Lineage: Eukaryota; Metazoa; Chordata; Aves; Psittaciformes; Psittacidae.